ACAAUGAAGAUGUGCUGUCUCACAGUUCUGGAGGUUAGAUGGUCAAAAGCAAGAUGUUGGCCGAGUGGGUUCCUUCCAGAGACUGUGAGGGGGCGUCCAUCCCAUGCUUUUCACUAGCUUCUUGUGGCUGUGGGCCAUCCUCGGCAUUCCUUGGCUUGUGGACACAUCACUCCAGCACGUGCCUCUGUCUCCCCACGGGAGCUGAGGUGCUGAGGUAAAUAUCAUAGCCUUUGAAGAUCUGUUUGUGCCGUGAACAUCAAAGGGAACACAGGUGUGAUGUCUGGAGCUCUAGCUGCAAUCCUGUACCAGGAGGGCAAUACUGACUCUGGGGAAGUUAGAGGAAUGAACUGGAAGGAACUGAGUCCCUGGAGGCAUAA
Non-coding RNA from Odocoileus virginianus texanus, 377 nucleotides. The record is from RefSeq and is a predicted model, not a curated record. NCBI's taxonomy places the organism in Eukaryota, Metazoa, Chordata, Mammalia, Artiodactyla, Cervidae.